AGCUUUGCGUAGUGGCAGUAUCAUAGCCAAUGAGGUUUAUCCGAGGCGCAAUUAUUGCUAAUCAAAAGUCCCUUCCAAGUAUCUGGCUUGAUCUUCCAAUAUUUUUAUUUUUAAAAUAGUCAAACCCCCAGAAAUCUGAAAGAAU
This 145-nucleotide small nuclear RNA is filed under the name Canis lupus familiaris (dog). RNAcentral describes it as "U4 spliceosomal RNA (ENSCAFG00030021537.1, ENSCAFG00805028557.1, ENSCAFG00845008722.1)". The stretch from base 1 to 119 matches the Rfam family "U4 spliceosomal RNA". Rfam says of the family: U4 small nuclear RNA (U4 snRNA) is a component of the major U2-dependent spliceosome. The structure of U4 snRNA from yeast and human has been reported. The record is from RNAcentral. Lineage: Eukaryota; Metazoa; Chordata; Mammalia; Carnivora; Canidae.